AAUCCUCUUUCUUGGUGCACCCUUAGCAGCCAGGUUAUGAGCUUGAGCCGUUGGCUGAGACCAUUCAGUGGUGAAGACAACUUCUUCACUUUCACCAAGUCUAAUACUUGGUGAUGGAGAGUCAAAACAAGGUGGCGGCUGAGGGUUAUGGGAUUCAUUUUGACUAGUUAGAAGAUCCAUGAAGCCAACAGAGUUGGCAUCAUAUGGAUUCAUUUAGAGAAGAGAUUGAAAAGGUUUUAAAGUUUGUUCUUUUACUGUCAAAGAGAAACAAAUAGAUUU
RNAcentral lists this long non-coding RNA (279 nucleotides) under Capsella grandiflora. RNAcentral's name for it is "long non-coding RNA (CGRA_LNC000216)". Lineage: Eukaryota; Viridiplantae; Streptophyta; Magnoliopsida; Brassicales; Brassicaceae. The record is from RNAcentral.